AACUGCCUCGAAAGCCUCGGAGGUCGCCGGAAACUGGGUAUUUUUUCAAAUGAGUAUAACUUCUUCAAUACUCAACGAAAUUGAGUGAAACAAAAAGGAAAGUUGUAGUACUUGACGAGACGAAGAGAUUGAUACCUACCUCGACUCCUAACUCGCCGGGGAUUCGCCGGAAAAUGCCUCGAAAGCUCCGGCCAAACUUUGAAACUUGUCGAUCUCCGUGUUCUUACGUCCAAAAACUUCCAACGAAGCACUCCGAGCAUCCUUGGGACUUCCUAAAGCUCACUAUGAGCUUGGUUUGGCCUAAAAACAACAACCAAUUCAAAGCUCAUGAACAGUACACAUUCACGGCAACUUUAGAAACUAGGGUUUUCGAAGUGAAACUUACUUGAAAUGGGUAUCAUCGUGAUCGUAUGGUCUUCAGGAGUACGAUGGCACUCUUAAAUCCGUCGUUGGUGGAAGUUUAGGGUGUUUUUUUUGUGGUGGUCUUGGUGGUUGCCGUGUGUUCGAGAGGGUGAGAGAGAGAGAUCUGAAAUGGAAGAAGAAGAGAGAGAAGGAAAGGUUACGGGUUUUAGGGAGUGCUUUGAGGUAUGAGGAUCCCACCUUAACCCAAACACAACAUUACAACCUAGUUUUAGUCCCUAACACAAAUUAACCAUAGUUUAGGAACUUUAAAUAAAACAAAUGUCAUCUCUUUACACACCUUAAUCUCGUUUAAGGUCAUUUUUGAAAUUUCACGUCCUCGGAAUGAAAAAUCCCGGGACGGGCUGUGACACCUAUCCCCUCCCC
RNAcentral lists this long non-coding RNA (786 nucleotides) under Malus domestica (apple). Its description in RNAcentral is "long non-coding RNA (MDOM_LNC011997)". Lineage: Eukaryota; Viridiplantae; Streptophyta; Magnoliopsida; Rosales; Rosaceae. The record is from RNAcentral.